This 488-nucleotide ribosomal RNA is filed under the name uncultured bacterium. RNAcentral describes it as "partial 16S ribosomal RNA". It matches the Rfam family "Bacterial small subunit ribosomal RNA", at positions 28 to 507 of the family's 1533-position model. The record is from RNAcentral.
GACGAACGCUGGCGGCGUGCUUAACACAUGCAAGUCGAACGGAAAGGCCCUGCUUUUGUGGGGUGCUCGAGUGGCGAACGGGUGAGUAACACGUGAGUAACCUGCCCUUGACUUUGGGAUAACUUCAGGAAACUGGGGCUAAUACCGGAUAGGAGCUCCUGCUGCAUGGUGGGGGUUGGAAAGUUUCGGCGGUUGGGGAUGGACUCGCGGCUUAUGAGCUUGUUGGUGGGGUAGCGGCUUACCCAGGGUAUGACGGGUAGCCGGCCUGAGAGGGUGACCGGGCACACUGGAACAGAGACACGGUGCAGACUGCUACGGGAGGGAGCAGUGGGGAAGAUGGGACAAUGGGCGCAGGCCUGAUGCAGCACUACCGGGUGGGUGAUGAAGGCCUUCGGGUGGGAAAGCUAUUUUGUGGGGAAAGAAAAGCAGCAGGUUAAAAACUAGCUGUUCUGACGGGAACAAAAGAGGAAGCACCGGCUAACUUCGUG